This is a long non-coding RNA of Perognathus longimembris pacificus (Pacific pocket mouse), 146 nucleotides long. RefSeq lists it as uncharacterized. The record is from RefSeq and is a predicted model, not a curated record. The transcript has 2 exons. NCBI's taxonomy places the organism in Eukaryota, Metazoa, Chordata, Mammalia, Rodentia, Heteromyidae.
GUUGGGUUAGGCUGCAGUGACAAACAGCUCCCAGUAUCUGGGGCUUCAAACAACAAAGAUAAUAGUCACCACAGGACAGACUGAGUUCUUAUAUCAACACACAGGAACUUUUUUAUAACUGUUUGAAGAAGUAUGUGUAGCAAAUC